UGUCAGGGCUUGCCGAUAUUAACGACAAACUUUUCUUCCCAAUUGAAAGUGCUUUACAACCCUAGGGCCUUCUUCACGCACGCGGCAUGGCUGCGUCAGGCUUUCGCCCACUUGCGCAAUAUUCCCA
This 127-nucleotide ribosomal RNA is filed under the name uncultured bacterium. RNAcentral describes it as "partial 16S ribosomal RNA". The record is from RNAcentral.